AACGAACGCUGGCGGCAGGCCUAACACAUGCAAGUCGAGCGAGGACUUCGGUCCUAGCGGCGGACGGGUGAGUAACGCGUGGGAACGUGCCCUUUGCUUCGGAAUAGCCCUGGGAAACUGGGAGUAAUACCGGAUGAGCCCUUUGGGGGAAAGAUUUAUCGGCGAAGGAUCGGCCCGCGUUGGAUUAGGUAUUUGGUGGGGUAAUGGCCUACCAAGCCGACGAUCCAUAGCUGGUUUGAGAGGAUGAUCAGCCACACUGGGACUGAGACACGGCCCAGACUCCUACGGGAGGCAGCAGUGGGGAAUCUUAGACAAUGGGGGAAACCCUGAUCUAGCCAUGCCGCGUGAGCGAUGAAGGCCUUAGGGUUGUAAAGCUCUUUCAGCUGGGAAGAUAAUGACGGUACCAGCAGAAGAAGCCCCGGCUAACUCCGUG
RNAcentral lists this ribosomal RNA (433 nucleotides) under uncultured bacterium. RNAcentral's name for it is "partial 16S ribosomal RNA". It matches the Rfam family "Bacterial small subunit ribosomal RNA", at positions 29 to 507 of the family's 1533-position model. The record is from RNAcentral.